RNAcentral lists this ribosomal RNA (595 nucleotides) under uncultured bacterium. RNAcentral describes it as "bacterial SSU rRNA". It matches the Rfam family "Bacterial small subunit ribosomal RNA", at positions 338 to 951 of the family's 1533-position model. The record is from RNAcentral.
CCUACGGGAGGCAGCAGUGGGGAAUCUUGCGCAAUGGGCGAAAGCCUGACGCAGCAACGCCGCGUGCGGGAAGAAGGCUUUCGGGCUGUAAACCGCUUUCAGCAGGAACGAAAAUGACGGUACCUGCAGAAGAAGGAGCGGCCAACUAUGUGCCAGCAGCCGCGGUGAUACAUAGGCUUCAAGCGUUGUCCGGAUUUAUUGGGCGUAAAGAGUUCGUAGGCGGUCAAGUAAGUCGGGUGUGAAAAUUCUGGGCUCAACCCAGAGACGCCACCCGAUACUGCUUAACUUGAGUUCGAUAGGGGAGUGGGGAAUUCCUAGUGUAGCGGUGAAAUGCGCAGAUAUUAGGAGGAACACCGGUGGCGAAGGCGCCACUCUGGAUCGAUACUGACGCUGAGGAACGAAAGCAUGGGUAGCAAACAGGAUUAGAUACCCUGGUAGUCCAUGCCGUAAACGGUGGGCACUAGGUGUGGGUUUCUAUUAACGAAAUCCGCGCCGUCGCUAACGCAUUAAGUGCCCCGCCUGGGGAGUACGGUCGCGAGACUAACUACAAGAAGUAGACGCGNGAGACGUGCGACGACGACGACGAGGGAGUAGG